AAAGUGACUCAGCUAUAUGUAUACGUAUAUCCCCUCUUUUUUGGCUUUCCUUCCCAUUUAGGUCACCACAGAACACUGAGUAGAGUUCCCUGUGUUAUACAGUAUAUAAUAACUGUGGCCGAUGUCUCCAGCUAUGAGCUCUACCCUGUUACCUAUUUAAUCUCCAACAACCUGAGGAGGUGUGCAGGAACGUGGUCACCUGCUGUGUUGGAGGAGCAGAGUUCUCGCUCAAGGGACU
Long non-coding RNA from Hippopotamus amphibius kiboko, 238 nucleotides. RefSeq lists it as uncharacterized. The transcript is spliced from 3 exons. The record is from RefSeq and is a predicted model, not a curated record. NCBI's taxonomy places the organism in Eukaryota, Metazoa, Chordata, Mammalia, Artiodactyla, Hippopotamidae.